Molecule: ribosomal RNA, 1248 nt
Filed under: Triticum aestivum (bread wheat)
Lineage: Eukaryota; Viridiplantae; Streptophyta; Magnoliopsida; Poales; Poaceae
Description: partial small subunit ribosomal RNA
Source: RNAcentral
AUGCAGCGGGCGCUGGAUACAAUCGACGUAGGCAACCUGCGGUGGGAUCCACCCGAGGCGCGAGAGGAUCCGGGGCCGGUCGAUCUAGCCGCCAGGAGAUCUGCCAGCAAGCUUCUAAUCACGCAUAGACAGAGAUUGAUGAGGAUGCAGUGCGCGGAGCAGCCGUUUCUACAGAACAUUAAUGCAUUAAUGGAGUGGGGUUGCGCCUCAAAACGGAUGGUGGAGGUCAGGGUGUUUCUGGUGUUAUUUUUGUUCCUGAAUUCUAAAAGUGAGGAUCCCAAUGGCUGCUCAAAGAAAAACAAUACGUAUAGGACACAGGAGCAUGGGCUCCUCAAUGCGUACGGUAGCGCCGCCGCGCGCCCGUUCCUCUCUGGCGCCGCCGCCGCCGCUGCCACCGCCCUGCUCUCGUUCCCCUCCCUAUCCAUCUCAAUCUUCUCCGGUGCCACCACGAUCUUCAACCUCCUGCCGCCAUUUGAGAGUGACUUGGCUGCCAUUAGAAGGAGCCCUCUACCGGAAUCUCCAUUAAAUCGCAUCAUAUCGCAACUUUUGAAGAGUCGUCCAGGAUCGUCUCAGCCGAGUUCGCCGGAAGAAAAUCCGCCGCCCAAGCGUACUACACCUGAGCCUGAAGAACAUCCCCUGCCGAACAUGCUACCCCAGAGGGAGGAGUGGGAAUGCGGUGUUCAUGAAAUUGAGUAUCUCAGAAGAGGUUUGGCACUUAUUUUCCUCAACCUGUUAUUCUUCAAAUGUGCUUCCCAUGGAUUUGAUCAACUUGGUGAGAUAAUGUUAUGUGUCAGUAUCAACCCAACAACCUUCGUGUACGGGUCCAUUGGCCUGCGUACCACACAUCCCUUCAUUAAUUCCAUCAGUAUCAUUCUUAACAAGAUGAUAUAUAAGAGGAAGCUAUUCGACAAUCCUGCUCAAGUUGGAAAGGCGGCCAAGCAGCUCGUGGCAUCUAUGUCACGCCUGCUCUGCCACUGCCUUGACCCGCCGCCGACGUCGCCGGUUGAGCCGCAAGGUUGCAAGAUCAUCGUGGGGCCCAUUGCAUGGGCUCCGAGUAUGCUUGAUUGCCAUGUCGGAGGCGAAGGCAUUAUCACAUCAGAACUGUCAAGAGGGACAAACAAGGGACUGGCUCAUGAACUAGCCAAUGACGCUAAAGCUCAUGGAGACCUUGUGGUUGCGUAUGGUGUCCCAGACCAACUCCAUGAUCAGCUCUGGAAGGAAAACAAUGCAGCCUUGACGUCGGCCUAA